Long non-coding RNA from Macadamia integrifolia, 529 nucleotides. RefSeq lists it as uncharacterized. The record is from RefSeq and is a predicted model, not a curated record. The transcript has 2 exons. Lineage: Eukaryota; Viridiplantae; Streptophyta; Magnoliopsida; Proteales; Proteaceae.
UCAUUCUCCUUCUGCUUCUUCUUCUCCUUGUUUCUCUUGUUUUCACGCAAUGAUCAACAUUAUUCUUAUUCUUAUUAUCAUUCUCCUUAUCAUUUUUAUCAUACUCUUUCAUCUUGCAUUUCCUGAUAGGCUUAGGCCGGAACUCGAGAAGGCUAGGAAGGAAAUGGAAGGGAAAAUGCAAUGGGAAUAUCGUCCUUUUUACAGGGGAGAGAGUGAUUGACAGCCACUUCAGCACUACUUGGAACAAUGCAUGCAUGGUAUCCUUAUAAAUAAAGUACGCGUAUGUGGACACCUUGGAGAUGUAUACUUCUUUGUAUUUCCUAAUAUGUAAUGGCAGCAAGUAAUCCCCACCCCCCCCCCUCUCUCUCUCUCUCUCUCUCUCUCUCUCUCUCUCUCUCUCUCUCUCUCUCUCUUUAUAUGCAUAUAAUAGGGGGAAAGUACUAAUAUUCCAUAGUUCUAAUGUGUACCCUUAAUAUAAAUUAAUGAACAUCAAUAAUAUAUCAGCUUAAUUUAUGAUCUCUUCAGUUUA